CCCGCUGAAUUUAAGCAUAUAAGUAAGCGGAGGAUAAGAAACUAAAUAGGAUUCCCUUAGUAAUGGCGAAUGAACAGGGAUAAGCUCAGCAUGGAAAUUGGGGCCUCUGGCCUUGAAUUGUAGUCUUGAGAUGUGCUACCAACGGAGGCGCAGAUGUAAGCCUCUUGGAAAAGAGCGUCAGGGAGGGUGAGAGUCCCGUAUGUCAUCUGCAGUUCUCUGUGCACGGUACAUUUUCCAAGAGUCACGUUCCUCGGGAUUGGAGCGCAAAUUGGGUGGUAAAUUUCAUCUAAAGCUAAAUAUUGGUUCGAGACCGAUAGCAAACAAGUACCAUGAGGGAAAGGUGAAAAGGACUUUGAAAAGAGAGUUAAAAGUGCCUGAAAUUGCUGAAAGGGAAGCGAAUGGAACCAGUUGUUCUUGGCGAGUAUUGGUGUUGUCUAAAGUGAGGGCUUGCCACUUCAGCGCAAGUGUGGUGGCAGGUUUUGAUCUGGAUGCGAUACUGCAUCUCGCCUUGCAUGUCAACGUCAGUUCAUAAUUGAGGAAAACUCUAAGGACUUGGUAAUUUGCUUCCGGGUGACUGAAUGUCUCUAGUGGAACUCAUUUUUGAACUGCUUUUGUAUGUCUUGUUGCAAUGCUCUGCGUGCUUGCCUGUGAUCCGGUGCUUGCUCUGUUUGGCAUGGGGUUGCUGGUGCCUGGAGCAUGUCCUUGACAUAAGUACGAUGACGAAAUGGUUUUAUUCGACCCGUCU
Molecule: ribosomal RNA, 745 nt
Filed under: Karenia selliformis
Lineage: Eukaryota; Dinophyceae; Gymnodiniales; Kareniaceae
Description: LSU rRNA
Rfam family: Eukaryotic large subunit ribosomal RNA
Source: RNAcentral